This 425-nucleotide ribosomal RNA is filed under the name uncultured bacterium. Its description in RNAcentral is "partial 16S ribosomal RNA". It matches the Rfam family "Bacterial small subunit ribosomal RNA", at positions 354 to 796 of the family's 1533-position model. The record is from RNAcentral.
GUUAGGAAUAUUGGACAAUGGGCGAAAGCCUGAUCCAGCCAUGCCGCGUGAACGAUGAAGGCCUUCGGGUUGUAAAGUUCUUUAGCCGAUGAUUAUAAUGACUGUAGUCGGAAAAUAAGCCCCGGCUAACUUCGUGCCAGCAGCCGCGGUAAUACGAAGGGGGCGAGCGUUAUUCGGAAUCACUGGGCGUAAAGUGUGCGUAGGCGGUUUUGUAAGUUAGGAGUGAAAGCCCAGGGCUCAACCUUGGAAUUGCUCUUAAAACUGCAAGGCUCGAAUCUCGGAGAGGAUAGCGGAAUUUCCAGUGUAGCAGUGAAAUGCGUAGAUAUUGGAAGGAACACCAGUGGCGUAAGCGGCUAUCUGGACGAGUAUUGACGCUGAGGCACGAAAGCGUGGGGAUCAAACAGGAUUAGAUACCCCUGUAGUCC